AUUGAACGCUGGCGGCAGGCUUAACACAUGCAAGUCGAACGAGUGGCGGACGGGUGAGUAAUGUCUGGGAAACUGCCUGAUGGAGGGGGAUAACUACUGGAAACGGUAGCUAAUACCGCAUACCAUCGGAUGUGCCCAGAUUGGAUUAGGUAUUGGGUGGGGUAAAGGCUUACCUAGGCGACGAUCCCUAGCUGGUCUGAGAGGAUGACCAGGCACACUGGAACUGAGACACGGCCCAGUCUCCUACGGGAGGCAGCAGAGGGGAAUAUUGCACAAAGGGGGCAAGCCUGAUGCAGCCAUGCCGCGUGUAUGAAGAAGGCCUUCGGGUUGUAAGAUGCUUUCAGCCGGGAGGCGUUACCUGCAGAAUAAGCACCGGCUAACUCCGUGCCAGCAGCCGCGGUAAUAC
This 406-nucleotide ribosomal RNA is filed under the name uncultured bacterium. RNAcentral describes it as "partial 16S ribosomal RNA". It matches the Rfam family "Bacterial small subunit ribosomal RNA", at positions 30 to 526 of the family's 1533-position model. The record is from RNAcentral.